This 78-nucleotide microRNA precursor is filed under the name Strigamia maritima. Its description in RNAcentral is "mir-315 microRNA precursor family". It matches the Rfam family "mir-315 microRNA precursor family". The record is from Rfam by way of RNAcentral. Lineage: Eukaryota; Metazoa; Arthropoda; Chilopoda; Geophilomorpha; Linotaeniidae.
CCCUUUUCUUUUGAUUGUUGCUCAGAAAGCCGUGUAGGUCGAAAUGGCUUUCGAGCUAUAAUCAAAAGUUGAGGAGGG